GCGUGGGUGAAGAAGGUCUUCGGAUUGUAAAGCCCUUUCGACGGGGACGAUGAUGACGGUACCCGUAGAAGAAGCCCCGGCUAACUUCGUGCCAGCAGCCGCGGUAAUACGAAGGGGGCUAGCGUUGCUCGGAUUGACUGGGCGUAAAGGGCGCGUAGGCGGUUCGUACAGUCAGACGUGAAAUUCCUGGGCUCAACCUGGGGGCUGCGUUUGAUACGUGCGGACUUGAGUGCGGAAGAGGGUCGUGGAAUUCCCAGUGUAGAGGUGAAAUUCGU
Molecule: ribosomal RNA, 275 nt
Filed under: uncultured bacterium
Lineage: Bacteria
Description: partial 16S ribosomal RNA
Rfam family: Bacterial small subunit ribosomal RNA
Source: RNAcentral